AAUAGAUACCCAGGUAGUCCACGCCGUAAACGAUGAGUGCUAAGUGUUAGGGGGUUUCCGCCCCUUAGUGCUGCAGCUAACACAUUAAGCACUCCGCCUGGGGAGUACGGUCGCAAGACUGAAACUCAAAGGAAUUGACGGGGGCCCGCACAAGCGGUGGAGCAUGUGGUUUAAUUCGAAGCAACGCGAAGAACCUUACCAGGUCUUGACAUCCCAUUGACCACUAUGGAGACAUAGUUUUCCCUUCGGGGACAACGGUGACAGGUGGUGCAUGGUUGUCGUCAGCUCGUGUCGUGAGAUGUUGGGUUAAGUCCCGCAACGAGCGCAACCCUUGUUCUUAGUUGCCAUCAUUUAGUUGGGCACUCUAAGGAGACUGCCGGUGACAAACCGGAGGAAGGUGGGGAUGACGUCAAAUCAUCAUGCCCCUUAUGACCUGGGCUACACACGUGCUACAAUGGACGGUACAAACGGUUGCCAACCCGCGAGGGGGAGCUAAUCCGAUAAAACCGUUCUCAGUUCGGAUUGUAGGCUGCAACUCGCCUACAUGAACG
This 551-nucleotide ribosomal RNA is filed under the name uncultured bacterium. Its description in RNAcentral is "bacterial SSU rRNA". It matches the Rfam family "Bacterial small subunit ribosomal RNA", at positions 777 to 1325 of the family's 1533-position model. The record is from RNAcentral.